RNAcentral lists this ribosomal RNA (301 nucleotides) under uncultured bacterium. Its description in RNAcentral is "partial 16S ribosomal RNA". It matches the Rfam family "Bacterial small subunit ribosomal RNA", at positions 509 to 807 of the family's 1533-position model. The record is from RNAcentral.
CAGUCGCCGCGGGAAAACAGAGGGUGCAAGCGUUAAUCGGAAUUACUGGGCGUAAAGCGCGCGUAGGUGGUUUGUUAAGUUGGAUGUGAAAUCCCCGGGCUCAACCUGGGAACUGCAUCCAAAACUGGCAAGCUAGAGUAUGGUAGAGGGUGGUGGAAUUUCCUGUGUAGCGGUGAAAUGCGUAGAUAUAGGAAGGAACACCAGUGGCGAAGGCGACCACCUGGACUGAUACUGACACUGAGGUGCGAAAGCGUGGGGAGCAAACAGGAUUAGAUACCCCGGUAGUCCCUGUCUCUUAUAC